CUAAGUUUGAUGGCGACCGGCGCACGGGUGAGUAACACGUAUCCAACCAGCCGAUGACUCGGGGAUAGCCUUUCGAAAGAAAGAUUAAUACCCGAUGGCAUAGUUCUUCCGCAUGGUGGAACUAUUAAAGAAUUUCGGUCAUCGAUGGGGAUGCGUUCCAUUAGGUUGUUGGCGGGGUAACGGCCCACCAAGCCUUCGAUGGAUAGGGGUUCUGAGAGGAAGGUCCCCCACAUUGGAACUGAGACACGGUCCAAACUCCUACGGGAGGCAGCAUG
This 275-nucleotide ribosomal RNA is filed under the name uncultured bacterium. RNAcentral's name for it is "partial 16S ribosomal RNA". It matches the Rfam family "Bacterial small subunit ribosomal RNA", at positions 79 to 353 of the family's 1533-position model. The record is from RNAcentral.